RNAcentral lists this transfer-messenger RNA (356 nucleotides) under bacterium. RNAcentral describes it as "B120-G9 sp003641415 Standard tmRNA". It matches the Rfam family "transfer-messenger RNA". From Rfam's summary of the family: Bacterial tmRNA, also known as 10Sa RNA or SsrA, is named for its dual tRNA and mRNA-like properties. Its role is to liberate the mRNA from a stalled ribosome. RNAcentral also lists the same sequence under 1 other name. The record is from RNAcentral.
GGGGGUGAACUGGAUUCGACGGGUUUAGUGGAGGGUUGUUGGCGUGCCGGGGUUGUCUGGGGCCCCGUUAAAAAACCGGGCAAAACACUAAUUGGCGAAUUUAACUACGCCAUGGCAGCCUAGAAAUAGCGCAGCCCGUUGUACCUGAACCGUUGUCUCUCGGGUCAGACUACAGCGUCGCAAAAGGAGACUCGGCUUUUCGACGCCUUUAAGGGAAGCUUAAAUAUAAAGGCUGGCUCUGCCAGUGGCCUGUUGGUCGGCAGCUUGCAGAGCGAGAAAUUAUAGAUCAACUAUGCACGUAGAAAGCAGCCAGACGUUAGAUUCGGACGGGGGUUCGAUUCCCCCCACCUCCAUUU